Homo sapiens (human) is the source of this 6717-nucleotide RNA transcript. It is a transcript of the gene named fer-1 like family member 4 (pseudogene), with no coding region annotated. The transcript is spliced from 43 exons. Lineage: Eukaryota; Metazoa; Chordata; Mammalia; Primates; Hominidae. The record is from RefSeq and is marked validated.
GAUUCAGGUGGGCGGGCUGGUGGGCAGAAGGGCAGACGGGCAGAGGAAGUGCCAGUGCCACUGGGACCAUGGCUCUGACGGUAACGCGUGCAACGACUAACAGGGCUGACCGGCACCCACGACCGACAAGUGAAGCUCACCUUUCGAGGCUUUACCCAGAAAACAAGAAAAAUUCACUGUGGUCCAGAAGCAGAUAUCGGUGAGCUGUUCCGAUGGCCCCACUAUGGGGCUCCACUGGCUGGGGAGUGUCUGUCUGUGCAGGUGGUCAACUGCAGCCGUGUAUUCAGCCUUAGGCCUCUAGGGACCCUGGUGAUCUCCCUGCAGCAGCUACAGAAUGCUGGGCAUUUGGUGCUACGGGAAGCCCUAGUGGAUGAGAAUCUUCAAGUGUCCCCGAUCCAGGUGGAGCUUGACCUGAAGUACCAGCCCCCAGAGGGCGCUACUGGAGCCUGGUCAGAGGAGGACUUUGGGGCACCCAUCCAGGACAGCUUCGAGUUAAUCAUCCCCAAUGUGGGCUUCCAGGAACUGGAGCCUGGGGAGGCCCAGCUGGAGCGGCGGGCAGUGGCUCUAGGCCGCAGGCUAGCUCGAAGUCUAGGCCAGCAGGACGAUGAAGAGAAUGAGCUGGAGCUUGAGCUGGAGCAGGACCUGGAUGAUGAGCCUGACGUGGAACUUUCUGGUGUUAUGUUCAGCCCCCUCAAGAGCCGCGCCAGGGCCCUGGCCCAUGGGGAUCCCUUCCAGGUGUCCAGAGCUCAAGACUUCCAGGUGGGAGUCACUGUGCUGGAAGCCCAGAAACUGGUGGGAGUCAACAUUAACCCCUAUGUGGCCGUGCAAGUGGGGGGGCAGCGCCGUGUGACCGCCACACAGCGUGGGACCAGUUGCCCCUUCUACAAUGAGUACUUCUUGUUCGAAUUUCAUGACACGCGGCUUCGUCUCCAAGACUUGCUGCUGGAGAUCACGGCUUUCCAUUCGCAGACCCUCCCCUUUAUGGCCACCCGGAUAGGCACCUUCAGGAUGGACCUGGGCAUCAUCUUGGACCAGCCAGAUGGCCAGUUCUACCAAAGAUGGGUUCCGCUGCAUGAUCCCCGAGACACCCGCGCCGGGACCAAGGGUUUCAUUAAGGUCACCUUGUCCGUGAGGGCGCGCGGGGACCUGCCCCCUCCAAUGCUACCCCCGGCCCCAGGGCACUGUUCGGACAUCGAGAAGAACCUGCUCCUGCCGCGCGGGGUGCCCGCCGAGAGGCCAUGGGCGCGGCUCCGCGUGCGCCUGUACCGCGCCGAGGGGCUUCCCGCGCUGCGCCUGGGGCUGCUGGGCAGCCUGGUCCGCGCCCUGCACGACCAGCGCGUCCUGGUGGAGCCCUAUGUGCGGGUGUCUUUCCUGGGGCAGGAGGGCGAGACGUCGGUGAGCGCCGAGGCGGCGGCGCCCGAAUGGAACGAGCAGCUGAGCUUCGUGGAGCUCUUCCCGCCGCUGACGCGCAGCCUCCGCCUGCAGCUGCGGGACGACGCGCCCCUGGUCGACGCGGCACUCGCUACGCACGUGCCGGACCUGAGGCGGAUCUCCCAUCCGGGCCGCGCGGCGGGGUUUAACCCUACCUUCGGCCCGGCCUGGGUGCCCCUCUAUGGCUCGCCCCCCGGCGCGGGGCUCCGGGAUAGUCUUCAAGGUCUCAACGAAGGCGUUGGCCAAGGCAUUUGGUUCCGCGGCCGCCUUCUGCUGGCUGUGUCCAUGCAGGUGUUGGAAGGGAGAGCUGAACCUGAGCCUCCCCAGGCCCAGCAGGGGUCCACGUUGUCCCGGCUCACCCGAAAGAAGAAAAAGAAAGCCAGAAGGGAUCAGACCCCAAAGGCGGUUCCGCAGCACUUGGACGCCAGCCCCGGUGCCGAGGGGCCUGAGAUCCCCCGUGCCAUGGAGGUGGAGGUGGAGGAGCUGCUGCCGCUGCCAGAGAAUGUCCUGGCGCCCUGUGAAGAUUUCCUGCUUUUCGGUGUGCUCUUCGAGGCCACCAUGAUCGACCCCACCGUGGCCUCCCAGCCCAUCAGCUUCGAGAUCUCCAUUGGUCGCGCAGGCCGUCUGGAGGAGCAAUUGGGCCGAGGGUCCAGGGCUGGGGAGGGAACUGAGGGUGCAGCCGUGGAGGCUCAGCCUCUGCUGGGAGCCAGGCCAGAGGAGGAGAAAGAGGAGGAAGAACUGGGGACCCAUGCUCAGCGGCCUGAGCCCAUGGACGGCAGUGGGCCAUACUUCUGCUUGCCCCUCUGUCACUGCAAGCCAUGCAUGCAUGUGUGGAGUUGCUGGGAGGACCACACCUGGCGCCUGCAGAGCAGCAACUGCGUGCGCAAAGUGGCCGAGAGGCUGGACCAGGGGCUGCAGGAGGUUGAGAGACUGCAGCGCAAGCCGGGGCCUGGCGCCUGUGCACAGCUCAAGCAGGCACUGGAAGUACUGGUGGCUGGGAGCAGACAGUUUUGCCACGGUGCCGAGCGCAGGACGAUGACCCGGCCCAAUGCCCUGGAUCGAUGCCGAGGGAAACUCCUGGUGCACAGCCUGAACCUUUUGGCUAAGCAAGGACUGCGACUUCUACGCGGCCUGAGACGGCGCAAUGUGCAAAAGAAGGUGGCACUGGCCAAGAAGCUCCUGGCAAAACUGCGCUUUCUGGCUGAGGAGCCCCAGCCACCCCUCCCCGAUGUGCUGGUCUGGAUGCUCAGCGGGCAGCGCCGUGUGGCCUGGGCCCGGAUCCCUGCCCAGGAUGUGCUGUUCUCUGUGGUUGAGGAGGAACGGGGCCGAGACUGUGGGAAGAUCCAGAGUCUAAUGCUCACGGCACCCGGGGCAGCCCCUGGUGAGGUCUGUGCCAAGCUGGAGCUCUUCCUGCGGCUGGGCCUGGGCAAGCAAGCCAAGGCCUGCACCUCUGAGCUGCCCCCGGAUUUGCUGCCCGAGCCCUCAGCCGGGCUGCCCUCCAGCCUACACCGGGACGACUUUAGCUACUUCCAACUCCGGGCUCACUUGUACCAGGCCCGGGGUGUGUUGGCUGCAGAUGACAGUGGCCUCUCGGACCCCUUUGCUCGAGUCCUCAUCUCUACCCAGUGUCAGACCACACGGGUCCUGGAGCAGACGCUGAGCCCUCUGUGGGAUGAACUCCUGGUAUUUGAGCAGUUGAUCGUGGAUGGGAGGAGGGAGCACCUGCAGGAGGAGCCUCCAUUAGUGAUCAUCAAUGUAUUUGACCACAAUAAGUUUGGCCCCCCCGUGUUCCUGGGCAGGGCACUGGCCGCCCCAAGGGUAAAGCUGAUGGAGGACCCAUACCAACGCCCAGAGUUGCAGUUCUUCCCCCUGAGGAAGGGACCCUGGGCAGCCGGAGAGCUCAUUGCCGCCUUUCAACUCAUUGAACUAGACUACAGUGGCCGACUUGAGCCCUCAGUGCCCAGUGAGGUGGAGCCCCAGGAUCUGGCACCCCUGGUUGAGCCCCACUCUGGACGCCUGUCCCUUCCACCCAACGUGUGCCCAGUGCUCAGGGAGUUCCGUGUUGAGGUGCUGUUCUGGGGUCUUAGGGGACUUGGUCGUGUGCAUCUGCUCGAGGUGGAGCAGCCCCAGGUUGUACUGGAGGUGGCUGGGCAAGGUGUGGAGUCUGAGGUCCUGGCCAGCUACCGUGAGAGCCCCAAUUUCACUGAGCUUGUCAGGCAUCUGACAGUGGACUUGCCGGAGCAGCCUUACUUGCAGCCUCCACUCAGCAUCUUGGUGAUUGAGCGCCGGGCCUUUGGCCACACAGUCCUUGUGGGUUCCCACAUUGUCCCCCACAUGCUGCGAUUCACAUUUCGGGGUCAUGAGGAUCCUCCUGAGGAGGAAGGAGAGAUGGAGGAGACAGGGGAUAUGAUGCCCAAGGGACCUCAAGGACAGAAGUCCCUGGAUCCCUUCUUGGCUGAAGCGGGUAUAUCCAGACAGCUCCUGAAGCCUCCUCUGAAGAAGCUCCCACUAGGAGGCCUCCUAAAUCAAGGCCCUGGGCUGGAGGAAGACAUCCCAGAUCCAGAGGAGCUCGACUGGGGGUCCAAGUACUAUGCGUCGCUGCAGGAGCUCCAGGGGCAGCACAACUUUGAUGAAGAUGAAAUGGAUGAUCCUGGAGAUUCAGAUGGGGUCAACCUCAUUUCUAUGGUUGGGGAGAUCCAAGACCAGGAUCUACAACAGGUCCCUGAAGGAAGAAUUUAACCACUUUGAAGACUGGCUGAAUGUGUUUCCUCUGUACCGAGGGCAAGGGGGCCAGGAUGGAGGUGGAGAAGAGGAAGGAUCUGGACACCUUGUGGGCAAGUUCAAGGGCUCCUUCCUCAUUUACCCUGAAUCAGAGGCAGUGUUGUUCUCUGAGCCCCAGAUCUCCCGGGGGAUCCCACAGAACCGGCCCAUCAAGCUCCUGGUCAGAGUGUAUGUUGUAAAGGCUACCAACCUGGCUCCUGCAGACCCCAAUGGCAAAGCAGACCCUUACGUGGUGGUGAGCGCUGGCCGGGAGCGGCAGGACACCAAGGAACGCUACAUCCCCAAGCAGCUCAACCCCAUCUUUGGAGAGAUCCUGGAGCUAAGCAUCUCUCUCCCAGCUGAGACGGAGCUGACGGUCGCCGUAUUUGAUCAUGACCUCGUGGGUUCUGACGACCUCAUCGGGGAGACCCACAUUGAUCUGGAAAACCGAUUCUAUAGCCACCACAGAGCAAACUGUGGGCUGGCCUCCCAGUAUGAAGUGUGGGUCCAGCAGGGCCCACAGGAGCCAUUCUGAGUUUCUGGCCAAACACAUUCAAGCUCACAUUCCCUUUUGUGUUCUCCAGAUCCUAUGAUUUCAUGGAAGGGGACCCUCCCACCCACCGCCACUGCCAACCAAGACAUAGCUCAGUGGUCAAGACUUGGGCUUGGGAGUCGGGAUCCUGUAACGAAUGUCACUUGACCGCUUUCUUUUUUUAUGAAACAGUCUCGCUCUGUCUCCCAGGUUGGAGUGCAGUGGCACGAUCUCGGCUGACUGCAACCUCCACCUCCUGGGUUCAAGCGAUUCUCCUGCCUCAGCCUCCCCAGUAGCUGGGAUUACAGGCGUGGGCCCCCAUGUCCAGCUAAUUUUUAUAUUUUUAGUAGAGACAGGGUUUCACCAUGUUGUCCAGGCUGGUCUUGAACCCCUGACCUCAAGUGAUCCACCCACCUCUGCCUCCCAAAGUGCUGGGAUUACAGGUGUGAGCCACCAUGCCAGGCCCACUUAACCUCUUCAAGUCUGUUUUCUCAUCUGCAAAACAGAGGUAAUAAGAUCAGUAUCUUCUUAAUGGAAGCACCUGGACUACAUUUUUUUCAUUCAUUGUUAUCAUAAAUGAGGACUAACCUGUCUCCCGUUGGGAGUUUUGAACCUAGACCUCAUGUCUUCAUGACGUCAUCACUGCCCCAGGCCCAGCUGUGUCCCUACACCAGCCCCAGCUGACGCAUCUUCUUUUUCUGCCUGUAGAGAUGGUUACAAUGCCUGGCGUGAUGCAUUCUGGCCUUCGCAGAUCCUGGCGGGGCUGUGCCAACGCUGUGGCCUCCCUGCCCCUGAAUACCGAGCCGGUGCUGUCAAGGUGGGCAGCAAAGUCUUCCUGACACCACCGGAGACCCUGCCCCCAGGGAUCUCUUCACAUGUGGAUUGACAUCUUUCCUCAAGAUGUGCCUGCUCCACCCCCAGUUGACAUCAAGCCUCGGCAGCCAAUCAGCUAUGAGCUCAGAGUUGUCAUCUGGAACACGGAGGAUGUGGUUCUGGACGACGAGAAUCCACUCACCGGAGAGAUGUCGAGUGACAUCUAUGUGAAGAGCUGGGUGAAGGGGUUGGAGCAUGACAAGCAGGAGACAGACGUUCACUUCAACUCCCUGACUGGGGAGGGGAACUUCAAUUGGCGCUUUGUGUUCCGCUUUGACUACCUGCCCACGGAGCGGGAGGUGAGCGUCCGGCGCAGGUCUGGACCCUUUGCCCUGGAGGAGGCGGAGUUCCGGCAGCCUGCAGUGCUGGUCCUGCAGGUCUGGGACUAUGACCGCAUCUCUGCCAAUGACUUCCUUGGAUCCCUGGAGUUGCAGCUACCAGACAUGGUGCGUGGGGCCCGGGGCCCCGAGCUCUGCUCUGUGCAGCUGGCCCGCAAUGGGGCCGGGCCGAGGUGCAAUCUGUUUCGCUGCUGCCGCCGCCUGAGGGGCUGGUGGCCGGUAGUGAAGCUGAAGGAGGCAGAGGACGUGGAGCGGGAGGCGCAGGAGGCUCAGGCUGGCAAGAAGAAGCGAAAGCAGAGGAGGAGGAAGGGCCGGCCAGAAGACCUGGAGUUCACAGACAUGGGUGGCAAUGUGUACAUCCUCACGGGCAAGGUGGAGGCAGAGUUUGAGCUGCUGACUGUGGAGGAGGCCGAGAAACGGCCAGUGGGGAAGGGGCGGAAGCAGCCAGAGCCUCUGGAGAAACCCAGCCGCCCCAAAACUUCCUUCAACUGGUUUGUGAACCCGCUGAAGACCUUUGUCUUCUUCAUCUGGCGCCGGUACUGGCGCACCCUGGUGCUGCUGCUACUGGUGCUGCUCACCGUCUUCCUCCUCCUGGUCUUCUACACCAUCCCUGGCCAGAUCAGCCAGGUCAUCUUCCGUCCCCUCCACAAGUGACUCUCGCUGACCUUGGACACUCACCCAGGGUGCCAACCCUUCAAUGCCUGCUCCUGGAAGUCUUUCUUACCCAUGUGAGCUACCCCAGAGUCUAGUGCUUCCUCUGAAUAAACCUAUCACAGCCACUGA